Small nucleolar RNA from Tursiops truncatus (common bottlenose dolphin), 140 nucleotides. Its record names the gene SNORA70. It matches the Rfam family "Small nucleolar RNA SNORA70". Rfam says of the family: snoRNA U70 seems to be exclusive to mammals and is a member of the H/ACA class of snoRNA which contain H (ANANNA) and ACA box motifs. NCBI's taxonomy places the organism in Eukaryota, Metazoa, Chordata, Mammalia, Artiodactyla, Delphinidae. The record is from Ensembl.
UUGCAAAUAACCCAGUUAAGCCGACUGUGCUGUUUUCCCCACGGGGACCCGACGUCCAGUAGCUGCAAACAACAGCCUCCUCGGUAGUGUAUGCAGCCUGUCGCCUGUAUGGGUUGCCCUAAGGGACCUUGGAUUCAGCC